CUAAUUUAUAUAUCACAACACAUCUAUGAUGCUCUGGCUAAAACUCAUUGGGUACAACUCACCAUUGUUGACAAUGAACUUUGUAUCAAAGGUGUCAAAGACUAUAAGGUUGGGCAAGGACAAGUUGGGGAGCUAAUCGAGCUUUAAUGUUUAGCUGCUUAAUUAAAUGUCAGGGGUAAAUUCCUAGAUUGGAGAUCUGGGUGUUCAGAGAGAGGUUCAAUAAGGCUAUACAAGAUGAGUUGAUCUAAAAGGUUAGUUCACACUAGGACGCAAGCGCAAACGGAAUCGCAACACAAGUGAGAAUUGGUCAAACACAAGCGCAAGAUAAUCAAGCACUUGCGUUCUCUUGCGCAUGCGUUCCAGUAACAAUCGGAAAAUUACGUGCGCUGCGCUUGCGCUUACGUCCAAGUGAGAACCAACCUUAAGU
This is a long non-coding RNA of Nematostella vectensis (starlet sea anemone), 427 nucleotides long. RefSeq lists it as uncharacterized. The transcript has 2 exons. The record is from RefSeq and is a predicted model, not a curated record. Lineage: Eukaryota; Metazoa; Cnidaria; Anthozoa; Actiniaria; Edwardsiidae.